RNAcentral lists this long non-coding RNA (264 nucleotides) under Lathyrus oleraceus (garden pea). RNAcentral describes it as "Pisum sativum (pea) long non-coding RNA (PSAT_LNC035519)". The record is from RNAcentral. Lineage: Eukaryota; Viridiplantae; Streptophyta; Magnoliopsida; Fabales; Fabaceae.
UUUGAAAAACUGCAAAAAUAGAAAGACAGGGAACGAAAUAUUUGAAUGCAAAAAGACGUCCUUUAUUUAUGAUAAAAAAUGCAAGUGUCACAUAAAUGAGCCCUACAAUGAGUCAUUACGCCCUGGCGGAACGUAAGACUUGGAUAUGCAUGAAUAAACAAAGAAAAUUACUCCUCCAGACAAGUGGCUUGGACAAUCUCCUUAGAAGACCAAUUAUUGAGAACUUCACCCGGGAUCCUCGGACGCACCCAGUUAUUGAUGUCG